RNAcentral lists this ribosomal RNA (238 nucleotides) under uncultured bacterium. Its description in RNAcentral is "partial 16S ribosomal RNA". It matches the Rfam family "Bacterial small subunit ribosomal RNA", at positions 540 to 776 of the family's 1533-position model. The record is from RNAcentral.
GUUGUCCGGAUUUAUUGGGCGUAAAGAGCUCGUAGGCGGCUUGUCGCGUCGAAUGUGAAAACUCGGGGCCUCAACUCCGAGCUUGCAUUCGAUACGGGCAGGCUAGAGUUCGGUAGGGGAGACUGGAAUUCCUGGUGUAGCGGUGAAAUGCGCAGAUAUCAGGAGGAACACCGGUGGCGAAGGCGGGUCUCUGGGCCGAUACUGACGCUGAGGAGCGAAAGCGUGGGGAGCGAACAGG